This 877-nucleotide long non-coding RNA is filed under the name Homo sapiens (human). Its description in RNAcentral is "LHRI_LNC681.4". The stretch from base 300 to 877 matches the Rfam family "Eukaryotic small subunit ribosomal RNA", at positions 1 to 531 of the family's 1831-position model. The record is from RNAcentral. Lineage: Eukaryota; Metazoa; Chordata; Mammalia; Primates; Hominidae.
UCCGCCUCCUCGCGGGCGGGCGCGACGAAGAAGCGUCGCGGGUCUGUGGCGCGGGGCCCCGGUGGUCGUGUCGCGUGGGGGGCGGGUGGUUGGGGCGUCCGGUUCGCCGCGCCCCGCCCCGGCCCCACCGGUCCCGGCCGCCGCCCCCGCGCCCGCUCGCUCCCUCCCGUCCGCCCGUCCGCGGCCCGUCCGUCCGUCCGUCCGUCGUCCUCCUCGCUUGCGGGGCGCCGGGCCCGUCCUCGCGAGGCCCCCCGGCCGGCCGUCCGGCCGCGUCGGGGCCUCGCCGCGCUCUACCUACCUACCUGGUUGAUCCUGCCAGUAGCAUAUGCUUGUCUCAAAGAUUAAGCCAUGCAUGUCUAAGUACGCACGGCCGGUACAGUGAAACUGCGAAUGGCUCAUUAAAUCAGUUAUGGUUCCUUUGGUCGCUCGCUCCUCUCCUACUUGGAUAACUGUGGUAAUUCUAGAGCUAAUACAUGCCGACGGGCGCUGACCCCCUUCGCGGGGGGGAUGCGUGCAUUUAUCAGAUCAAAACCAACCCGGUCAGCCCCUCUCCGGCCCCGGCCGGGGGGCGGGCGCCGGCGGCUUUGGUGACUCUAGAUAACCUCGGGCUGAUCGCACGCCCCCCGUGGCGGCGACGACCCAUUCGAACGUCUGCCCUAUCAACUUUCGAUGGUAGUCGCCGUGCCUACCAUGGUGACCACGGGUGACGGGGAAUCAGGGUUCGAUUCCGGAGAGGGAGCCUGAGAAACGGCUACCACAUCCAAGGAAGGCAGCAGGCGCGCAAAUUACCCACUCCCGACCCGGGGAGGUAGUGACGAAAAAUAACAAUACAGGACUCUUUCGAGGCCCUGUAAUUGGAAUGAGUCCACUUUAAAUC